This is a long non-coding RNA of Fundulus heteroclitus (mummichog), 474 nucleotides long. RefSeq lists it as uncharacterized. The transcript is spliced from 3 exons. Lineage: Eukaryota; Metazoa; Chordata; Actinopteri; Cyprinodontiformes; Fundulidae. The record is from RefSeq and is a predicted model, not a curated record.
AGGAGAACCUGUGAUGAAGAGAGAUAAAAUGUUACCUGUUUUCCCCUGUGUGCCCUAAAAACUCUUUAAUUACAAGGCAGACUUCUACCAUGAAUAGAAACUUGGAUGGCAGUGGUAGCGGGUAAUGCAGUGGAAGAAAAAGAAAGGUUAGCUGGAUAAUGUGGAGACCCAUGGAAAGAUAAAAAGCUUAUUUCCUGCACUAGAUGCACAUCUUUAGCUGGAAAGUUUGCAGCCUGCUCAUACCAGAGGAGGCCAUGAUGCAUGCAGGCUAACCUCUAACAACCUUUAGAGUCAUCCGACUCCUGAAGCAGCAAAGCAACCCCAGACCAUCAUCCUACCACCACCGUGCAUUAAAAGGAGGACCACAGGAUGCCGUGUGAGAGGCUCACCACCAGCUGGCAGCCGUAGCGUUCCUCGGUGAUGCUGUAGCACUGAGACAACGUGGUGAAGAACUUGGCCAUGCACUGGUCCUGC